This 474-nucleotide ribosomal RNA is filed under the name uncultured bacterium. Its description in RNAcentral is "bacterial SSU rRNA". It matches the Rfam family "Bacterial small subunit ribosomal RNA", at positions 915 to 1391 of the family's 1533-position model. The record is from RNAcentral.
GGGGGCCCGCAAGCGGUGGAGCAUGUGGUUUAAUUCGAAGCAACGCGAAGAACCUUACCAGGUCUUGACACCCUCUGCUAUCGAUAGAGAUAUCGAGUUCCCUUCGGGGACAGAGUGACAGGUGGUGCAUGGUUGUCGUCAGCUCGUGUCGUGAGAUGUUGGGUUAAGUCCCGUAACGAGCGCAACCCUUGAUCUUAGUUGCCAGCAUUAAGUUGGGCACUCUAAGGUGACUGCCGGUGACAAAUCGGAGGAAGGUGGGGAUGACGUCAAAUCAUCAUGCCCCUUAUGACCUGGGCUACACACGUGCUACAAUGGAUGGAACAGAGGGCAGCGAAACCGCGAGGUGGAGCGAAUCCCACAAAACCAUUCCCAGUUCGGAUUGUAGGCUGCAAUUCGCCUACAUGAAGCAGGAAUCGCUAGUAAUCGCGGAUCAGAACGCCGCGGUGAAUACGUUCCCGGGGCCUUGUACACACC